GACGAACGCUGGCGGCGUGCUUAACACAUGCAAGUCGAACGGAAAGGCCCUACCUUGGUGGGGUACUCGAGUGGCGAACGGGUGAGUAACACGUGAGUAACCUGCCCUGGACUCUGGGAUAACUCCGGGAAACUGGGGCUAAUACCGGAUAUGACCUCCUGCUGCAUGGUGGGGGUUGGAAAGUUUCGGCGGUUGGGGAUAGGCUCGCGGCUUAUCAGCUUGUUGGUGGGGUAGUGGCUUACCAAGGCUUUGACGGGUAGCCGGCCUGAGAGGGUGACCGGCCACAUUGGGACUGAGAUACGGCCCAGACUCCUACGGGAGGCAGCAGUGGGGAAUAUUGCACAAUGGGCGGAAGCCUGAUGCAGCAACGCCGCGUGCGGGAUGACGGCCUUCGGGUUGUAAACCGCUUUCGCCAGUGACGAAGCGUGAGUGACGGUAAUGGGUAAAGAAGCACCGGCUAACUACGUG
RNAcentral lists this ribosomal RNA (468 nucleotides) under uncultured bacterium. RNAcentral's name for it is "partial 16S ribosomal RNA". It matches the Rfam family "Bacterial small subunit ribosomal RNA", at positions 28 to 507 of the family's 1533-position model. The record is from RNAcentral.